Molecule: ribosomal RNA, 2445 nt
Filed under: Escherichia coli
Lineage: Bacteria; Pseudomonadati; Pseudomonadota; Gammaproteobacteria; Enterobacterales; Enterobacteriaceae
Description: bacterial LSU rRNA
Rfam family: Bacterial large subunit ribosomal RNA
Source: RNAcentral
UGUGAGCUCGAUGAGUAGGGCGGGACACGUGGUAUCCUGUCUGAAUAUGGGGGGACCAUCCUCCAAGGCUAAAUACUCCUGACUGACCGAUAGUGAACCAGUACCGUGAGGGAAAGGCGAAAAGAACCCCGGCGAGGGGAGUGAAAAAGAACCUGAAACCGUGUACGUACAAGCAGUGGGAGCACGCUUAGGCGUGUGACUGCGUACCUUUUGUAUAAUGGGUCAGCGACUUAUAUUCUGUAGCAAGGUUAACCGAAUAGGGGAGCCGAAGGGAAACCGAGUCUUAACUGGGCGUUAAGUUGCAGGGUAUAGACCCGAAACCCGGUGAUCUAGCCAUGGGCAGGUUGAAGGUUGGGUAACACUAACUGGAGGACCGAACCGACUAAUGUUGAAAAAUUAGCGGAUGACUUGUGGCUGGGGGUGAAAGGCCAAUCAAACCGGGAGAUAGCUGGUUCUCCCCGAAAGCUAUUUAGGUAGCGCCUCGUGAAUUCAUCUCCGGGGGUAGAGCACUGUUUCGGCAAGGGGGUCAUCCCGACUUACCAACCCGAUGCAAACUGCGAAUACCGGAGAAUGUUAUCACGGGAGACACACGGCGGGUGCUAACGUCCGUCGUGAAGAGGGAAACAACCCAGACCGCCAGCUAAGGUCCCAAAGUCAUGGUUAAGUGGGAAACGAUGUGGGAAGGCCCAGACAGCCAGGAUGUUGGCUUAGAAGCAGCCAUCAUUUAAAGAAAGCGUAAUAGCUCACUGGUCGAGUCGGCCUGCGCGGAAGAUGUAACGGGGCUAAACCAUGCACCGAAGCUGCGGCAGCGACGCUGAUGCGUUGUUGGGUAGGGGAGCGUUCUGUAAGCCUGCGAAGGUGUGCUGUGAGGCAUGCUGGAGGUAUCAGAAGUGCGAAUGCUGACAUAAGUAACGAUAAAGCGGGUGAAAAGCCCGCUCGCCGGAAGACCAAGGGUUCCUGUCCAACGUUAAUCGGGGCAGGGUGAGUCGACCCCUAAGGCGAGGCCGAAAGGCGUAGUCGAUGGGAAACAGGUUAAUAUUCCUGUACUUGGUGUUACUGCGAAGGGGGGACGGAGAAGGCUAUGUUGGCCGGGCGACGGUUGUCCCGGUUUAAGCGUGUAGGCUGGUUUUCCAGGCAAAUCCGGAAAAUCAAGGCUGAGGCGUGAUGACGAGGCACUACGGUGCUGAAGCAACAAAUGCCCUGCUUCCAGGAAAAGCCUCUAAGCAUCAGGUAACAUCAAAUCGUACCCCAAACCGACACAGGUGGUCAGGUAGAGAAUACCAAGGCGCUUGAGAGAACUCGGGUGAAGGAACUAGGCAAAAUGGUGCCGUAACUUCGGGAGAAGGCACGCUGAUAUGUAGGUGAAGUCCCUCGCGGAUGGAGCUGAAAUCAGUCGAAGAUACCAGCUGGCUGCAACUGUUUAUUAAAAACACAGCACUGUGCAAACACGAAAGUGGACGUAUACGGUGUGACGCCUGCCCGGUGCCGGAAGGUUAAUUGAUGGGGUUAGCCGCAAGGCGAAGCUCUUGAUCGAAGCCCCGGUAAACGGCGGCCGUAACUAUAACGGUCCUAAGGUAGCGAAAUUCCUUGUCGGGUAAGUUCCGACCUGCACGAAUGGCGUAAUGAUGGCCAGGCUGUCUCCACCCGAGACUCAGUGAAAUUGAACUCGCUGUGAAGAUGCAGUGUACCCGCGGCAAGACGGAAAGACCCCGUGAACCUUUACUAUAGCUUGACACUGAACAUUGAGCCUUGAUGUGUAGGAUAGGUGGGAGGCUUUGAAGUGUGGACGCCAGUCUGCAUGGAGCCGACCUUGAAAUACCACCCUUUAAUGUUUGAUGUUCUAACGUUGACCCGUGAUCCGGGUUGCGGACAGUGUCUGGUGGGUAGUUUGACUGGGGCGGUCUCCUCCUAAAGAGUAACGGAGGAGCACGAAGGUUGGCUAAUCCUGGUCGGACAUCAGGAGGUUAGUGCAAUGGCAUAAGCCAGCUUGACUGCGAGCGUGACGGCGCGAGCAGGUGCGAAAGCAGGUCAUAGUGAUCCGGUGGUUCUGAAUGGAAGGGCCAUCGCUCAACGGAUAAAAGGUACUCCGGGGAUAACAGGCUGAUACCGCCCAAGAGUUCAUAUCGACGGCGGUGUUUGGCACCUCGAUGUCGGCUCAUCACAUCCUGGGGCUGAAGUAGGUCCCAAGGGUAUGGCUGUUCGCCAUUUAAAGUGGUACGCGAGCUGGGUUUAGAACGUCGUGAGACAGUUCGGUCCCUAUCUGCCGUGGGCGCUGGAGAACUGAGGGGGGCUGCUCCUAGUACGAGAGGACCGGAGUGGACGCAUCACUGGUGUUCGGGUUGUCAUGCCAAUGGCACUGCCCGGUAGCUAAAUGCGGAAGAGAUAAGUGCUGAAAGCAUCUAAGCACGAAACUUGCCCCGAGAUGAGUUCUCCCUGACUCCUUGA